This 790-nucleotide long non-coding RNA is filed under the name Mytilus galloprovincialis (Mediterranean mussel). The record is from RNAcentral. Lineage: Eukaryota; Metazoa; Mollusca; Bivalvia; Mytilida; Mytilidae.
UUGUUAUAGAAAAAUAUUUAUUUUUAAAAGUAUAAUGCUUUAUUAUUUGCAAUUUUUACAAUUGACAAUGCAUGGAGUUACAUAAGUAGUUUAUUACCGGGUGAAGUUUUCAGGAUCUCUUUAUGAUACAAAUAUUGCACUGAUAUUAUUGGGAGAAGUGCUAAGCUCCGCUUCAUAGGAUAUGGAGAUCGAACUGUCAAAAGUUUCAACAGUUUAGUUAGAGCUUAAGUUGUAUCUCAGAAUAAAAAAAAUAUCUGUACUGCUACAACAAUUACAUAUUUGAAACCAUGGAUUGAAUCUAAAAUCAUUCAAUUUAAAACAAAGAAAAGUAAUUGCAAAAUUUUAAAGCAAGAUAUCCUACAGAUAACAACUACUACGAUGUGUUAACGAACUUGACUACCUUUGAGGGUGUGUUGACGAGCUUGACUACCCUUGAAGGUGUAACGAGCUUGAAUAAUCCUUGAGGGUGUGUUGACGAGCUUGACUACCAUUGAGGGUGUGAUGACGAGCUUGACUACCCUUGAAGGUGUAACCAGCUUGAAUAAUCCUUGAGGGUGUGUUGACGAGCUUGACUACCAUUGAGGGUGUGUUGACGAGCUUGAAUACCCUUGAAGGUGUAACGAGCUUGAAUAAUCCUUGAGGGUGUAUUAACGAGCUUGACUAUACCCUUGAUGGUGUGUUGACGAGCUUGGCUGCCCUUGAGGGUGUGUUAACGAGUUUGACUACCCUCAAGUGUAUCUUGACGAGCUUGACUACCCUUGAAGGUGUGUUAGCGAGCUUGGCUACCCAU